UAAAUUUCGUCUUCGUGUCAUGUAAAGUGAAGAAACAGGAGUUUUCUGGAUACAAAAGUGUAGUAUAAUGCAAAAACCCUAUGGAGCCACCUUAAAAUAGAUUUUUAUUAUUAUUUUAUGACUUUUAAACACAGAAAUCACUCGUGGUCACUCGUGGUCAUUCGUAGUCAUUCGUGGUCACUCGUGGUCAUUCGUGGUCACUCGUGGUCACCCGUGUGUACUUUUAGACAAGACCCUAUAAAUAGCGAGAAAUUAAAAAUAGCGUGAGAACUUGUCGACUUCUUCUGCUGUACAAUAAAUAAAUAAACUGUGGUGGUGAUUUUAUUAUGGGUGGGGAUAAAACGCUGAAACUGAAUCGUGGAAACUGAAAUGGGG
Paramuricea clavata is the source of this 375-nucleotide non-coding RNA. NCBI's taxonomy places the organism in Eukaryota, Metazoa, Cnidaria, Anthozoa, Malacalcyonacea, Plexauridae. The record is from the annotation of a GenBank genome assembly.